CCUAAAUAUGUUUUAUUCUGCAGCUGUGGCCUCUAUUCGGUGGAUGUCUGACCAAACCUGAACGAGGAAGAUAUUUUAUGUACUUCUGAUUAUGUUCUGCCCAGCUGUCUCUGUUCCUGUAGUGUGAUCACAUUUCAGCACCUUUUGAUUUGUAGAAUCAAUAUAUCCUGAGUUGUGGUGUCAGUAAUUUAUUUGUAGCACAAUAUCUUACAUAGAGACCAUAUGACUUUGGGAACGUUACGGGACCAAGUCAUUUACCCAGACACUCCAGAACACCGGAAACGUAAAGGUAUUCCUGAUAAGGUAUUGAAGGAAUACCUUGACAAUGUGCAGCUGGGUUUGGAACGUGAAGGCGGCUGGGACAGUGUUCAAGACUGGAUGUACUGAGUGGGGGCGAAAAGCAGAGGAUGGCAAUGGCAAGAUAAUUUUACCAUGUACCCCAGUUUGCCAUUUUGGACGAGUGCACUAGUGCGCACGUUUCCUCUUUCAACUGUGAACAAAGCUAUUCCAACCUAAGAGGAUAAGAAAAGGGAGCACAGUGUCACACAGAAAGUCCCUAUGGAAGCACCACGAGUACUACCUCCACAUGGACAGCAGAGGAAACUGAGUUCAAGCAGAUCACAGAUGACGCCAUUGAAUUCAGCUCUUAAGUGUUUUAUGCUGAUAAAUAUCAGGGUACACCGGAAAUCGAAAGUAACUUGUGGCGAAAUAUAAUGCAGCCUUUU
Spea bombifrons (plains spadefoot toad) is the source of this 725-nucleotide long non-coding RNA. RefSeq lists it as uncharacterized. The record is from RefSeq and is a predicted model, not a curated record. Lineage: Eukaryota; Metazoa; Chordata; Amphibia; Anura; Pelobatidae. The transcript is spliced from 5 exons.